RNAcentral lists this long non-coding RNA (220 nucleotides) under Hordeum vulgare. Its description in RNAcentral is "long non-coding RNA (HVUL_LNC005728)". Lineage: Eukaryota; Viridiplantae; Streptophyta; Magnoliopsida; Poales; Poaceae. The record is from RNAcentral.
CCCCCCCCUCGGACUCACAAUCGGGUUCCACAUGAAAUUUCCUUCGUGGGGUGUGACCGCUACGUUGCGCCACUCCGGCUCGCCGUCCGAGGACCAAAGUCCAGGUAGUUAAGCCAUACGGUGACCCCUCCCCCAUCCCUAGCCACAUCCGCUUCCUCCCUCUCCGCGUCGCUAGGCCGAGCCCAUCCAAUUAUCUUCCUGUGUGUCUACCACUCCCCUC